AACUACCAGAAAGGGAAGAAACUAAAAGGACAGGUCUACAGCUUGGGAACACUUGGUGCGUGGCCCCGCCUACAUAGGAAGGCAUGUUGGGAAUCCGUUGAGGUCUUGUCUCUGCUCCUGAAGAGCUCACUGGUAUCCUUUUUGGGACUUUCUUCUUGUGAGGCUUCCGCAGUGGAGACCGUCUUUUCUGUAACUCCUGGGGAGCGAGAAGAUCCCGGUGGACCAGUUGCGGGUGCACAAGAGGAAGUCUCCCCACCUUGGGGCUCCCACCCCCUGAGGGACCACAGUCUGGCCCAAGCAGAGACCCUGGAGCCAGAGGGAAUGGCCCCCGGGACCCAGAGGCGCCCUUCCCAGUUGUUGGCCAGUCGUUGUGAAUGUACUAUGUGCUGCUAAAAAAGAAGGUAUUCUUUUUUGUCCCUUUUUAUUUUUCUCCAUACAAUUAUUAAUGCUAAUUUUUCCUAAGAUUUCAUUCACAUCUCUUACCUCUCUCUUAUUUAUUUCUUGGUUUGAUUUAUCUAGAUUUGAUAGAGGAAGGCUUGGGUCUCCCACUUGUGAAUCUUGAAAUUUCUCAGACUUGUGAAUGUUAAAAAAAUUCCCAGUCCCUACUUCAUAAGGUUGGGUUAAGACCAUUCCCCAUUGGGACCAAUUCCCCAUUUGGGCAGUGAAAGUAACUUAGAUCAGGAAUGUGAGAACUCUACUUCACCAUACUUAAGCAUGCCUUAGGGGAAGAUAAAGUUGUAAACUCUUUGCUGAACAAUGAAAAAAUACUUAAACCCAUAUUUAUAGUAAGACAGAAAAGUUCUUAAGCCAUACCUAUUUUUGAAUAUAAUACAAAAAGGUGCUAAGUACCUAUAAAGGUCAGGCAACUUGUGAACUUACAAGGAGCAAAGAGGUGAAAACUUACUCAGAGAUUCUAGUCUAUUCAGGUGUGAAUUACUCAAAAGAUUAGUCUACUUAGGUGUGAACUAAGAAUGAUCUGUUCUUUGAAAAAUGUCUACUGUGAUUGGUAGAUGGGAAAACUUAGGGGAGCUUACAUAGGAGAAAAUUCCCUUUAUAAGGAGAUGACAGUCUCCUAAUGAGGACAGUCUGUUGAAAAGCAGUCUGUUGAAAAACAGUGUCUUGAGACAGUCUCUUGAAGACAGUCUGAGGGAGGCUGACUCUGGCUGGAACUCCCUCUGAGGAGACUCUGUCCCUCUGAAUCCUUGCUUGGACAAAUCUUGUGGUGAGUAAUAAAAGACUGACUGAUCUUUCUCUUAAGGCUUUG
This 1264-nucleotide long non-coding RNA is filed under the name Monodelphis domestica (gray short-tailed opossum). RNAcentral's name for it is "lncRNA (ENSMODG00000037973.1)". The record is from RNAcentral. Lineage: Eukaryota; Metazoa; Chordata; Mammalia; Didelphimorphia; Didelphidae.